RNAcentral lists this ribosomal RNA (477 nucleotides) under Streptococcus sp. oral taxon 431. RNAcentral's name for it is "bacterial SSU rRNA". It matches the Rfam family "Bacterial small subunit ribosomal RNA", at positions 28 to 488 of the family's 1533-position model. Lineage: Bacteria; Bacillati; Bacillota; Bacilli; Lactobacillales; Streptococcaceae. The record is from RNAcentral.
GAUGAACGCUGGCGGCGUGCCUAAUACAUGCAAGUAGAACGCUGAAGGAAGGAGCUUGCUCUUUCCGGAUGAGUUGCGAACGGGUGAGUAACGCGUAGGUAACCUGCCUGGUAGCGGGGGAUAACUAUUGGAAACGAUAGCUAAUACCGCAUAACAGUAGAUAUUGCAUGAUAUCUGCUUGAAAGGUGCAAUUGCAUCACUACCAGAUGGACCUGCGUUGUAUUAGCUAGUUGGUGAGGUAACGGCUCACCAAGGCGACGAUACAUAGCCGACCUGAGAGGGUGAUCGGCCACACUGGGACUGAGACACGGCCCAGACUCCUACGGGAGGCAGCAGUAGGGAAUCUUCGGCAAUGGACGGAAGUCUGACCGAGCAACGCCGCGUGAGUGAAGAAGGUUUUCGGAUCGUAAAGCUCUGUUGUAAGAGAAGAACGAGUGUGAGAGUGGAAAGUUCACACUGUGACGGUAUCUACCAGAA